This 620-nucleotide ribosomal RNA is filed under the name uncultured Bacteroidales bacterium. Its description in RNAcentral is "bacterial SSU rRNA". It matches the Rfam family "Bacterial small subunit ribosomal RNA", at positions 98 to 717 of the family's 1533-position model. Lineage: Bacteria; Pseudomonadati; Bacteroidota; Bacteroidia; Bacteroidales. The record is from RNAcentral.
GCGCACGGGUGCGUAACGCGUAUGCAACCUACCUUUAACAGGGGCAUAACACUGAGAAAUUGGUACUAAUUCCCCAUAACAUUCGAGAAGGCAUCUUCUUGGGUUAAAAACUCCGGUGGUUAAAGAUGGGCAUGCGUUGUAUUAGCUAGUUGGUGAGGUAACGGCUCACCAAGGCAACGAUACAUAGGGGGACUGAGAGGUUAACCCCCCACAUUGGUACUGAGACACGGACCAAACUCCUACGGGAGGCAGCAGUGAGGAAUAUUGGUCAAUGGACGCAAGUCUGAACCAGCCAUGCCGCGUGCAGGAAGACGGCUCUAUGAGUUGUAAACUGCUUUUGUACUAGGGUAAACGCUCCUACGUGUAGGAGUCUGAAAGUAUAGUACGAAUAAGGAUCGGCUAACUCCGUGCCAGCAGCCGCGGUAAUACGGAGGAUCCAAGCGUUAUCCGGAUUUAUUGGGUUUAAAGGGUACGUAGGCGGUUUGAUAAGUUAGAGGUGAAAUACCGGGGCUCAACUCCGGAACUGCCUCUAAUACUGUUGAACUAGAGAGUAGUUGCGGUAGGCGGAAUGUAUGGUGUAGCGGUGAAAUGCUUAGAGAUCAUACAGAACACCGAUUGCG